ACGGAAGGCAGCAGUGGGGAAUAUUGCACAAUGGGGGAAACCCUGAUGCAGCGACGCCGCGUGAAGGAUGAAGUAUUUCGGUAUGUAAACUUCUAUCAGCAGGGAAGAAAAUGACGGUACCUGACUAAGAAGCCCCGGCUAACUACGUGCCAGCAGCCGCGGUAAUACGUAUGGGGCAAGCGUUAUCCGGAUUUACUGGGUGUAAAGGGAGCGUAGACGGUAUGGCAAGUCUGAAGUGAAAGCCCGGGGCUCAACCCCGGGACUGCUUUGGAAACUGGUAAACUAGAGUGUCGGAGAGGCAAGUGGAAUUCCUAGUGUAGCGGUGAAAUGCGUAGAUAUUAGGAGGAACACCAGUGGCGAAGGCGGCUUGCUGGACGAUGACUGACGUUGAGGCUCGAAAGCGUGGGGAGCAAACAGGAUUAGAUACCCUGGUA
This 434-nucleotide ribosomal RNA is filed under the name uncultured Dorea sp. RNAcentral describes it as "partial 16S ribosomal RNA". It matches the Rfam family "Bacterial small subunit ribosomal RNA", at positions 341 to 792 of the family's 1533-position model. The record is from RNAcentral. Lineage: Bacteria; Bacillati; Bacillota; Clostridia; Lachnospirales; Lachnospiraceae.